CUCUGUGACUCCUACGGGAGGCAGCAGUGGGGAAUAUUGCACAAUGGGGGAAACCCUGAUGCAGCCAUGCCGCGUGUGUGAAGAAGGCCUUCGGGUUGUAAAGCACUUUCAGUAGGGAGGAAGGUAGUGUAGUUAACACCUGCAUUAUUUGACGUUACCUACAGAAGAAGCACCGGCUAACUCCGUGCCAGCAGCCGCGGUAAUACGGAGGGUGCGAGCGUUAAUCGGAAUUACUGGGCGUAAAGCGCAUGCAGGCGGCCUGUUAAGUCAGAUGUGAAAGCCCGGGGCUUAACCUCGGAAUUGCAUUUGAAACUGGCAGGCUAGAGUCUUGUAGAGGGGGUAGAAUUUCAGGUGUAGCGGUGAAAUGCGUAGAGAUCUGAAGGAAUACCAGUGGCGAAGGCGGCCCCCCUGGACAAAGACUGACGCUCAGAUGCGAAAGCGUGGGGAGCAAACAGGAUUAGAUACCCUGGUAG
Molecule: ribosomal RNA, 473 nt
Filed under: uncultured bacterium
Lineage: Bacteria
Description: bacterial SSU rRNA
Rfam family: Bacterial small subunit ribosomal RNA
Source: RNAcentral